GGAAUUCGAUUGUCUUAUCCUGGCUCAGGAUGAACGCUGGCGCGUGCUUAACACAUGCAAGUCGAACGGGAAACAUUUUAUUGAAGCUUCGGCAGAUCUUAGCUUGUAACUAGUGGCGGACGGGUGAGUAACGCGUGGGUAACCUGCCUUAUACUGGGGGAUAACAGCCAUAAAUGACUGCAAAUACCGCAUAAGCGCACAGAACCGCAUGGUUCGGUGUGAAAAACUCCGGUGGUAUAAGAUGGACCCGCGUUGGAUUAGCUAGUUGGCAGGGCAGCGGCCUACCAAGGCGACGAUCCAUAGCCGGCCUGAGAGGGUGAACGGCCACAUUGGGACUGAGACACGGCCCAGACUCCUACGGGAGGCAGCAGUGGGGAAUAUGCACAAGGGGGAAACCCUGAUGCAGCGACGCCGCGUGAAGGAAGAAGUAUCUCGGUAUGUAAACUUCUAUCAGCAGGGAAGAUAAUGACGGGACCGACAAGAAGCCCCGGCUAACACGUGCCAGCAGCCGCGGUAAUACGUAGGGG
Molecule: ribosomal RNA, 527 nt
Filed under: uncultured bacterium
Lineage: Bacteria
Description: bacterial SSU rRNA
Rfam family: Bacterial small subunit ribosomal RNA
Source: RNAcentral